This is a small nucleolar RNA of Mastomys coucha (southern multimammate mouse), 132 nucleotides long. RefSeq annotates it as small nucleolar RNA SNORA71. The record is from RefSeq and is a predicted model, not a curated record. Lineage: Eukaryota; Metazoa; Chordata; Mammalia; Rodentia; Muridae. The transcript has a single exon.
CCUUGUUUCUGAAAGUAAUCAUGGGCUUUUGUGCCCUGGUCAUUGAUACUGCAAGGAGAGGGUCCUGAAAGCCUCUCCUGAUGUCUGGAAGAUCUGCUCCUGUCCUUGCCAAACCCUGGCAUUUUCAAUACA